GACGAACGCUGGCGGCGUGCUUAACACAUGCAAGUCGAACGGAAAGGGCCGGUUCUUGUGGGGUGUUCGAGUGGCGAACGGGUGAGUAACACGUGUGUAACCUGCGCUUGACUUUGGGAUAACUUCAGGAAACUGGGGUUAAUAUCGGAUAUGAGCUCCUUCAGCAUGGGGGGGGUGGGAAAAUGUCGGCGUUUGGGGAUGGACACGCGGCUUAUCAGCUUGUUGGUUGGGUAGUGGCUUACCAGGGCUUUGACGGGUAGCCGGCCUGAGAGGGUGACCGGCCACAUUGGGCCUGAGGUACGGCCCAGACUCCUACGGGAGGCAGCAGUGGGGAAUAUUGCACACUGCGCGGAAGCCUGAUGCAGCAACGCCGCGUGCGGGAUGACGGCCUUCGGGUUGUAACCCGCUUUCGCCUGUGACGAAGCGUGAGUGACGGUAAUGGGUAAAGAAGCACCGGCUAACUACGUG
This 468-nucleotide ribosomal RNA is filed under the name uncultured bacterium. RNAcentral's name for it is "partial 16S ribosomal RNA". It matches the Rfam family "Bacterial small subunit ribosomal RNA", at positions 28 to 507 of the family's 1533-position model. The record is from RNAcentral.